UACUAAAGAGACAAUUUUUUUGUCUAAAAAUGUCGAUCCCUCGUCAAAGGAGAUCGAGCCCCUUAGCAUUGCCCAUUCACUGCCCCACCUUUCAAUCCCCAAAUAAAUCUUCUUUUUCUCUCUGUGAAUUCCUCAAGCGCGCUCAACCUCCCCUCCCAAGUUCUUCAUCCAACUCUCACUGUUCUCUUCUUCUCUUCCGCGGCGCCAUGGUGUUCGCUCUUCACUGUUUGAGACUCGACCUUCGCUUCGUUUAAGUAGCGGCGCCCUUUGCUUCACCCUUUAUUUUUCAGACGUCGCGAGUAAUGAAAAAGGAAACUGGUUAUUCUCUGACGAUGGGUUGAGGUUCGCCCUUUGCGUCGCCUCUUUGGGUUAUUUUCCGGCGAUUUUGGCUGAGUUGGGUGCGAUUACAAGCUGGGUGGGGUUGCAGAUUUGGUAGGUUUCAGGUCUGAAAAAUAGCGAUCGCGGCUGUUCGUCUUCCAGCAUCGCAUUUGUUCAUUUUUUGGCGGUCGCAGCUGGAUCGUUCAACGGCGUUGCGGCUGGUUCGCGGUUCUUCUCCGGUGAAUUUGUGGGUCGCCGUUGGCUGGGUUGUUGUUCUCCGGCGAUUUCGGAUUGGUUUCGCCGGCGAUUUUGGGCUGGGUUUUUCUCCAGCCUCGGUUUGAGACUCGGCGCCGCUGUUUUCUUCAUCGUUUUGGGCUGGGUUUAAAACGCUGUAAAGGACGAAGCUUGUGGGUAGCAGGUCUUUCCGGCCGUGAGACUUUGCCCUUUAUUUUUCCAGCGUGCGGUUGGUUCUUCUUCAGAUCCGGCUUGUUCUUCUCUGAUUCUGGCUGGAUUCUCUCUGGCGAUUUUGUCUUGGUCUCGCCGGCGAUCAAGGCUGGUUCUUCUCCGGCCACGAUUUCCGACAAUUUGGGUUCUCACUUCUUGUUUUCUGGGUCACAUCUGGGUUGUCUUUCUGGCGGCGCAUCUGGGUUCUCUCUAGCGAUCGCAGCUGGGUUCUUUUCCGGAUCGCGGCCGUUCAUCUUUCUGGUGUCGCGGCUGGGUUCUUCUCUGGUCGUGGCUGGGUCGUCGUUUUCUUCCGGCAAGUUUAUGAAUCGCCUUUUUCUCCGGCAAUUUUGAUUUGGCUGACGGUUUCUGAGUUUGUGAAUCGCCGUUUUUGUCGGUUCCCCUGAAUGUAUCUAAAGGAACGGUUUUGACAAUCUUUUGAAGAAUCAAAGUAAGCCGUUGUUGGGGACUGUUACUUGAGCCAAGUUCCUUGAGCCAUCAUGUGUAUGAAUGUUGCGGCAUUGUAUUCAAAAUGACGACCGCAUCACUUGACCAUCCAAGGAGGCUAAAGAGAAGGCUGAGAGCUUUUGGAAGUCAAGCCUUCGCGGGCGUCUGCCGCGCCACCUUGGGUGCCCGCCAAUCAUCACAGUAGCAGGCCCUCCUCCACGGGGCCCCGCAGCUCUCGCGGGCCCUCGUUGCGUACUCCCGUGGGCACCCGCCAAAACCCCCAGUACGCCACCUCCGGAUGUAAGCACCCGCGGGCACCCGCCGAUCUGCAGAUAAUAGCUUUCCUGCUCCUGCUUUUGUGCUAAUCCUUGUUCCCUCUACAUUUUGUGUGGUCCAAAUGACUUAUAGGGUGGUUGGAGCUCGUGAUAGAGUGGAUGGAAGUAGGUUUUUGCCUAGAUAAGAGGCGGAAAGCUUGUAUGGAUCCAUAUCUCACAUUUGGCUAAGUUCUAGAGAGAGAAAUAGUGAGUUUGGAGGGUCUUGGGUGUUCUUGAGCUUAAGGUGCGAAAAUGGAGAGGGAUUCUUCAUCUUCUUCUUCAUUCUUUGUCUUCAUGGGUAACUAACUCCCUAUCUAGGGAGGUGAUGAAGCUCCAUUUUGUAAGCUUUGCUUUGUUUUGAUUUAUAUUUGGGGGUUUAAUGUAUAUAUGUGACCUUUUCAUGAACUAGAGCACUUUAUUUGAUGUAAAGAACUUCAAUGUCUAUUAAUGAUCAUUUUGAGUUAAA
Molecule: long non-coding RNA, 1986 nt
Organism: Cornus florida
Lineage: Eukaryota; Viridiplantae; Streptophyta; Magnoliopsida; Cornales; Cornaceae
Exons: 2
Source: RefSeq, a predicted model, not a curated record